AGGCAUAGCGCCUGUGCUUUUCGGUACCGUAAGGUGGUACCAGAAUAAGGGCUGGGCAAGACCGGUGCCAGCCGCCGCGGUAAUACCGGCAGCCCAAGUGAUGGCCGAUGUUAUUGGGCCUAAAGCGUCCGUAGCCGGCCGAGCAAGUCCGUCGGGAAAUCCAGCAGCUCAACUGCUGGGCGUCCGGCGGAAACUGUUCGGCUUGGGACCGGAAGACCCGAGGGGUACGUCCGGGGUAGGAGUGAAAUCCCGUAAUCCCGGACGGACCGCCGAUGGCGAAAGCACCUCGGGAAGACGGAUCCGACGGUGAGGGACGAAAGCUGGGGUCUCGAACCGGAUUAGAUACCCGGGUAGUCCUGGCCGUAAACAAUGUCUGUUAGGUGUGGCUCCCGCUACGAGCGGGUGCUGUGCCGUAGGGAAGCCGCUAAACAGACCGCCUGGGAAGUACGUCCGCAAGGAUGAAACUUAAAGGAAUUGGCGGGGGAGCAC
This 489-nucleotide ribosomal RNA is filed under the name uncultured archaeon. Its description in RNAcentral is "bacterial SSU rRNA". It matches the Rfam family "Archaeal small subunit ribosomal RNA", at positions 391 to 879 of the family's 1478-position model. The record is from RNAcentral.